RNAcentral lists this ribosomal RNA (497 nucleotides) under uncultured bacterium. RNAcentral describes it as "partial 16S ribosomal RNA". It matches the Rfam family "Bacterial small subunit ribosomal RNA", at positions 28 to 507 of the family's 1533-position model. The record is from RNAcentral.
GAUGAACGCUGGCGGCGUGCCUAAUACAUGCAAGUCGAGCGAACAGACGAGGAGCUUGCUCCUCUGACGUUAGCGGCGGACGGGUGAGUAACACGUGGAUAACCUACCUAUAAGACUGGGAUAACUUCGGGAAACCGGAGCUAAUACCGGAUAAUAUAUUGAACCGCAUGGUUCAAUAGUGAAAGACGGUUUUGCUGUCACUUAUAGAUGGAUCCGCGCCGCAUUAGCUAGUUGGUAAGGUAACGGCUUACCAAGGCAACGAUGCGUAGCCGACCUGAGAGGGUGAUCGUCCACACUGGAACGGAGACACGUUCCAGACUCCUACGGGAGGCAGCAGUAGGGAAUCUUCCGCAAUGGGCGAAAGCCUGACGGAGCAACGCCGCGUGAGUGAUUAAGGUCUUCGGAUCGUAAAACUCUGUUAUUAGGGAAGAACAAAUGUGUAAGUAACUAUGCGCGUCUUGACGGUACCUAAUCAGAAAGCCACGGCUAACUACGUG